This 98-nucleotide ribosomal RNA is filed under the name Paenibacillus barengoltzii J12. RNAcentral describes it as "23S rRNA. Bacterial LSU". It matches the Rfam family "Bacterial large subunit ribosomal RNA", at positions 2826 to 2925 of the family's 2925-position model. Lineage: Bacteria; Bacillati; Bacillota; Bacilli; Caryophanales; Paenibacillaceae. The record is from RNAcentral.
UCGUAAGACCCCUUGAAGACGACGAGGUUGAUAGGCCUGAGGUGGAAGUGCAGCAAUGCAUGGAGCUGACAGGUACUAAUCGGUCGAGGGCUUAUCCA